ACUAAGCGUACACGGUGGAUGCCCUGGCAGUCAGAGGCGAUGAAGGACGUGCUAAUCUGCGAUAAGCGUCGGUAAGGUGAUAUGAACCGUUAUAACCGGCGAUUUCCGAAUGGGGAAACCCAGUGUGAUUCGUCACACUAUCAUUAACUGAAUCCAUAGGUUAAUGAGGCGAACCGGGGGAACUGAAACAUCUAAGUACCCCGAGGAAAAGAAAUCAACCGAGAUUCCCCCAGUAGCGGCGAGCGAACGGGGAGCAGCCCAGAGCCUGAAUCAGUAUGUGUGUUAGUGGAAGCGUCUGGAAAGGCGCGCGAUACAGGGUGACAGCCCCGUACACAAAAAUGCACAUGCUGUGAGCUCGAUGAGUAGGGCGGGACACGUGGUAUCCUGUCUGAAUAUGGGGGGACCAUCCUCCAAGGCUAAAUACUCCUGACUGACCGAUAGUGAACCAGUACCGUGAGGGAAAGGCGAAAAGAACCCCGGCGAGGGGAGUGAAAAAGAACCUGAAACCGUGUACGUACAAGCAGUGGGAGCACGCUUAGGCGUGUGACUGCGUACCUUUUGUAUAAUGGGUCAGCGACUUAUAUUCUGUAGCAAGGUUAACCGAAUAGGGGAGCCGAAGGGAAACCGAGUCUUAACUGGGCGUUAAGUUGCAGGGUAUAGACCCGAAACCCGGUGAUCUAGCCAUGGGCAGGUUGAAGGUUGGGUAACACUAACUGGAGGACCGAACCGACUAAUGUUGAAAAAUUAGCGGAUGACUUGUGGCUGGGGGUGAAAGGCCAAUCAAACCGGGAGAUAGCUGGUUCUCCCCGAAAGCUAUUUAGGUAGCGCCUCGUGAAUUCAUCUCCGGGGGUAGAGCACUGUUUCGGCAAGGGGGUCAUCCCGACUUACCAACCCGAUGCAAACUGCGAAUACCGGAGAAUGUUAUCACGGGAGACACACGGCGGGUGCUAACGUCCGUCGUGAAGAGGGAAACAACCCAGACCGCCAGCUAAGGUCCCAAAGUCAUGGUUAAGUGGGAAACGAUGUGGGAAGGCCCAGACAGCCAGGAUGUUGGCUUAGAAGCAGCCAUCAUUUAAAGAAAGCGUAAUAGCUCACUGGUCGAGUCGGCCUGCGCGGAAGAUGUAACGGGGCUAAACCAUGCACCGAAGCUGCGGCAGCGACGCUGAUGCGUUGUUGGGUAGGGGAGCGUUCUGUAAGCCUGCGAAGGUGUGCUGUGAGGCAUGCUGGAGGUAUCAGAAGUGCGAAUGCUGACAUAAGUAACGAUAAAGCGGGUGAAAAGCCCGCUCGCCGGAAGACCAAGGGUUCCUGUCCAACGUUAAUCGGGGCAGGGUGAGUCGACCCCUAAGGCGAGGCCGAAAGGCGUAGUCGAUGGGAAACAGGUUAAUAUUCCUGUACUUGGUGUUACUGCGAAGGGGGGACGGAGAAGGCUAUGUUGGCCGGGCGACGGUUGUCCCGGUUUAAGCGUGUAGGCUGGUUUUCCAGGCAAAUCCGGAAAAUCAAGGCUGAGGCGUGAUGACGAGGCACUACGGUGCUGAAGCAACAAAUGCCCUGCUUCCAGGAAAAGCCUCUAAGCAUCAGGUAACAUCAAAUCGUACCCCAAACCGACACAGGUGGUCAGGUAGAGAAUACCAAGGCGCUUGAGAGAACUCGGGUGAAGGAACUAGGCAAAAUGGUGCCGUAACUUCGGGAGAAGGCACGCUGAUAUGUAGGUGAAGUCCCUCGCGGAUGGAGCUGAAAUCAGUCGAAGAUACCAGCUGGCUGCAACUGUUUAUUAAAAACACAGCACUGUGCAAACACGAAAGUGGACGUAUACGGUGUGACGCCUGCCCGGUGCCGGAAGGUUAAUUGAUGGGGUUAGCGCAAGCGAAGCUCUUGAUCGAAGCCCCGGUAAACGGCGGCCGUAACUAUAACGGUCCUAAGGUAGCGAAAUUCCUUGUCGGGUAAGUUCCGACCUGCACGAAUGGCGUAAUGAUGGCCAGGCUGUCUCCACCCGAGACUCAGUGAAAUUGAACUCGCUGUGAAGAUGCAGUGUACCCGCGGCAAGACGGAAAGACCCCGUGAACCUUUACUAUAGCUUGACACUGAACAUUGAGCCUUGAUGUGUAGGAUAGGUGGGAGGCUUUGAAGUGUGGACGCCAGUCUGCAUGGAGCCGACCUUGAAAUACCACCCUUUAAUGUUUGAUGUUCUAACGUUGACCCGUAAUCCGGGUUGCGGACAGUGUCUGGUGGGUAGUUUGACUGGGGCGGUCUCCUCCUAAAGAGUAACGGAGGAGCACGAAGGUUGGCUAAUCCUGGUCGGACAUCAGGAGGUUAGUGCAAUGGCAUAAGCCAGCUUGACUGCGAGCGUGACGGCGCGAGCAGGUGCGAAAGCAGGUCAUAGUGAUCCGGUGGUUCUGAAUGGAAGGGCCAUCGCUCAACGGAUAAAAGGUACUCCGGGGAUAACAGGCUGAUACCGCCCAAGAGUUCAUAUCGACGGCGGUGUUUGGCACCUCGAUGUCGGCUCAUCACAUCCUGGGGCUGAAGUAGGUCCCAAGGGUAUGGCUGUUCGCCAUUUAAAGUGGUACGCGAGCUGGGUUUAGAACGUCGUGAGACAGUUCGGUCCCUAUCUGCCGUGGGCGCUGGAGAACUGAGGGGGGCUGCUCCUAGUACGAGAGGACCGGAGUGGACGCAUCACUGGUGUUCGGGUUGUCAUGCCAAUGGCACUGCCCGGUAGCUAAAUGCGGAAGAGAUAAGUGCUGAAAGCAUCUAAGCACGAAACUUGCCCCGAGAUGAGUUCUCCCUGACUCCUUGAGAGUCCUGAAGGAACGUUGAAGACGACGACGUUGAUAGGCCGGGUGUGUAAGCGCAGCGAUGCGUUGAGCUAACCGGUACUAAUGAACCGUGAGGCUUAACC
RNAcentral lists this ribosomal RNA (2893 nucleotides) under Escherichia coli. Its description in RNAcentral is "bacterial LSU rRNA". It matches the Rfam family "Bacterial large subunit ribosomal RNA". Lineage: Bacteria; Pseudomonadati; Pseudomonadota; Gammaproteobacteria; Enterobacterales; Enterobacteriaceae. The record is from RNAcentral.